CCUACGGGUGGCAGCAGUGGGGGAUAUUGCACAAUGGAGGAAACUCUGAUGCAGCGACGCCGCGUGAGGGAAGACGGUCUUCGGAUUGUAAACCUCUGUCUUUGGGGAAGAAAAUGACGGUACCCAAAGAGGAAGCUCCGGCUAACUACGUGCCAGCAGCCGCGGUAAUACGUAGGGAGCGAGCGUUGUCGGGAAUUACGGGGGGUAAAGGGAGCGUAGGCGGGCGAGAAAGUUGAAUGUUAAAUCUACCGGCUUAACUGGUAGCUGCGUUCAAAACUUCUUGUCUUGAGUGAAGUAGAGGCAGGCGGAAUUCCUAGUGUAGCGGUGAAAUGCGUAGAUAUAUGGAAGAACACCAGUGGCGAAGGCGGCUCUCUGGUCUGCAACUGACGCUGAGGCUCGAAAGCAUGGGUAGCGAACAGGAUUAGAUACCCUUGUAGUC
This 439-nucleotide ribosomal RNA is filed under the name uncultured bacterium. RNAcentral's name for it is "partial 16S ribosomal RNA". It matches the Rfam family "Bacterial small subunit ribosomal RNA", at positions 338 to 795 of the family's 1533-position model. The record is from RNAcentral.